CCUACGGGGUGCUGCAGUGGGGAAUAUUGGACAAUGGGCGAAAGCCUGAUCCAGCCAUGCCGCGUGUGUGAAGAAGGCCUUCGGGUUGUAAAGCACUUUCAGUGGGGAAGAAAGCCUUGGGGCUAAUACCCUCGAGGAAGGACAUCACCCACAGAAGAAGCACCGGCUAACUCCGUGCCAGCAGCCGCGGUAAUACGGAGGGUGCGAGCGUUAAUCGGAAUUACUGGGCGUAAAGCGCGCGUAGGCGGUCUGAUAAGCCGGUUGUGAAAGCCCCGGGCUCAACCUGGGAACGGCAUCCGGAACUGUCAGGCUAGAGUGCAGGAGAGGAAGGUAGAAUUCCCGGUGUAGCGGUGAAAUGCGUAGAGAUCGGGAGGAAUACCAGUGGCGAAGGCGGCCUUCUGGACUGACACUGAUGCUGAGGUGCGAAAGCGUGGGUAGCAAACAGGAUUAGAUACCCUGGUAGUC
RNAcentral lists this ribosomal RNA (465 nucleotides) under Vreelandella stevensii. RNAcentral's name for it is "partial 16S ribosomal RNA". It matches the Rfam family "Bacterial small subunit ribosomal RNA", at positions 338 to 795 of the family's 1533-position model. Lineage: Bacteria; Pseudomonadati; Pseudomonadota; Gammaproteobacteria; Oceanospirillales; Halomonadaceae. The record is from RNAcentral.